RNAcentral lists this ribosomal RNA (766 nucleotides) under uncultured bacterium. RNAcentral's name for it is "bacterial SSU rRNA". The stretch from base 153 to 766 matches the Rfam family "Bacterial small subunit ribosomal RNA", at positions 874 to 1496 of the family's 1533-position model. The record is from RNAcentral.
UUGUUUUUGUUCCGAGUUCGGAUCUAGUAGAAAGGGCGCGCAGAGGGCGGGGAUUGGGCGAAAUGAGAGCCCCGAGGUCGCCGCAGGAGACGAAGAGGACUCGGGGGUGGGAAAGAGGGCAACGGGCAAAGGGAAGCAUUAAGUAUUCCACUUGGGGAGUACGCCGGCAACGGUGAAAAUCAAAAGGAAAUGACGGGGGGCCCGCACAAGCGGAGGAACAUGUGGUUUAAUUCGAAUAUACGCAAGGAACCUUACCCGGGCUUAAANUGCACGUGGAAUAACGUGGAGACAUGUUAGCCGCAAGGCAGGUGUGAAGGUGCUGCAUGGUUGUCGUCAGCUCGUGCCGUGAGGUGUCGGCUUAAGUGCCAUAACGAGCGCAACCCUUAUCUUCAGUUACUAACAGGUUAUGCUGAGGACUCUGGAGAGACUGCCGUCGUAAGAUGUGAGGAAGGUGGGGAUGACGUCAAAUCAGCACGGCCCUUACGUCCGGGGCUACACACGUGUUACAAUGGGGGGUACAGAAGGCCGCUACCUGGUGACAGGAUGCUAAUCCCAAAAACCUCUCUCAGUUCGGAUCGAAGUCUGCAACCCGACUUCGUGAAGCUGGAUUCGCUAGUAAUCGCGCAUCAGCCAUGGCGCGGAGAAUACGUUCCCGGGCCUUGUACACACCGCCCGUCAAGCCAUGAAAGCCGGGGGUACCUGAAGUACGUAACCGCAAGGAGCGUCCUAGGGUAAAACUGGUAAUUGGGGCUAAGUCGUAACAAGG